GAUGAACGCUGGCGGCGUGCCUAAUACAUGCAAGUCGAGCGAACAGACGAGGAUCUUGCUCCUCUGACGUUAGCGGCGGACGGGUGAGUAACACGUAGAUCGCCUACCUAUAAGCCUCAACUAACUUCGAGAAACCGGAGCUAAUACCUGAUAACCUGUUGAACCGCAUGGUUCAACAGUUGAUGGCGAUCUUGCUGUCACUUAUAGAUGGAUCCGGGCCGCCUUAGCUAGUUGGUAUGGUAACGGCAUACCAAGGCAACGAUGCGUAGCCGACCUGGGAGGGUGAGCGGCCACACUGGAACUGAGACACGAUACAGACCAGUACGGGAGGCAGCAGAAGGGAAUGGUACGCAGUGGGAGAAAGCCUGACGGAGCGACGCCGCGUGAGGGAAGAAGGGCUUCGGUUCGGAAAGCUAUGUUAUUAGGGAAGAAAAAAAGUGUAAGGAACGAUGCACGGCUGGAGGGAACCGAAGCAGAAGGCCACGGCUAACUACGG
RNAcentral lists this ribosomal RNA (496 nucleotides) under uncultured bacterium. RNAcentral's name for it is "partial 16S ribosomal RNA". It matches the Rfam family "Bacterial small subunit ribosomal RNA", at positions 28 to 506 of the family's 1533-position model. The record is from RNAcentral.